RNAcentral lists this small RNA (83 nucleotides) under Flavobacterium swingsii. RNAcentral describes it as "Flavo-1 RNA". It matches the Rfam family "Flavo-1 RNA". Lineage: Bacteria; Pseudomonadati; Bacteroidota; Flavobacteriia; Flavobacteriales; Flavobacteriaceae. The record is from RNAcentral.
UACUAGCCCCGAUUGCAGUGAAAAUCCUUUUGUCUCGUUUUUUGGAACGAGAUAAAAGAUUGAAACGAAAAGCGGGAAUAGCU